AUUUUGUCUCAUGAUGAUCCCAUAGUUCAUCUGAUCACUCUGAUGUACAUAAUGCAUUGUCUUUCGCUCCUAUCUGAUUUAACUC
Molecule: small nucleolar RNA, 85 nt
Filed under: Danaus plexippus (monarch butterfly)
Lineage: Eukaryota; Metazoa; Arthropoda; Insecta; Lepidoptera; Nymphalidae
Also listed under: 1 other name
Description: misc RNA ENSDPXG00000018105.1
Rfam family: Small nucleolar RNA snR60/Z15/Z230/Z193/J17
About the family: The members of this family belong to the C/D class of snoRNAs which contain the C (UGAUGA) and D (CUGA) box motifs. Most of the members of the box C/D family function in directing site-specific 2'-O-methylation of substrate RNAs. The family includes the yeast snoRNA snR60 (also known as Z15) and the corresponding human guide snoRNA U80 (SNORD80).
Source: RNAcentral